RNAcentral lists this long non-coding RNA (1721 nucleotides) under Cyanistes caeruleus (blue tit). RNAcentral describes it as "lncRNA (ENSCCEG00000003744.1)". Lineage: Eukaryota; Metazoa; Chordata; Aves; Passeriformes; Paridae. The record is from RNAcentral.
AUGGGUGACAGGUGACGGGUGACAGGUGAUGGGUGACAGGUGACGGGUGAUGGGUGACAGGUGAUGGGUGACAGGUGAUGGGUGACAGGUGACGGGUGAUGGGUGACAGGUGACAGGUGACAGGUGAUGAGUGACGGGUGACAGGUGACGGGUGACACUGGGGACAGUGCCACUGAAUGAGGGACAUGGGGGGUGUGGGUGACAGCCAGGUGUCCCCAGGUGUGUCUCCUGUACCCCCAGGUGUGUUUUUGCUGUCCCCAGGUGUCCCCAGGUGUCCCCAGGUGUAUCUCAGGUGUGUCUCAGGUGUGUCUCAGGUGUGUUUUUGCUCUCCCAGGUGUCUCAGGUGUGUUUUUGCUGUCUCAGGUGUAUCUCAGGUGUAUCUCAGGUGUCCCAGGUGUGUUGUUGCUGUCCCCAGGUGUCCCCAGGUGUAUCUCAGGUGUAUCACAGGUGUAUCUCAGGUGUGUUUUUGGUGUCCCAGGUGUGUCUCAGGUGUGUUGUUGCUGUCUCAGGUGUAUCUCAGGUGUGUUUUUGGUGUCCCCAGGUGUCCCCAGGUGUAUCUCAGGUGUGUUUUUGCUGUCCCCAGGUGUCCCCAGGUGUGUCUCAGGUGUGUUUUUGCUGUCUCAGGUGUGUUUUUGGUGUCCCAGGUGUGUCCCAGGUGUCCCCAGGUGCCUGCGAUGGCGCGGGGGCAGCUCCAGUGCCGGAACCUCCAGGAUUUCCUGCGGGGGCUCAGCCCCAACACCCUGGAUCGGCUGUACGGACACCCGGCCACGUGCCUGGCCGUGUUCAGGUGAAAUUAACGCUAAUUAACGCUAAUUAACACUAAUUAACAACACUAAUUAACACCCGGCCACCUGUCUGGCUGUUUUCAGGUGAGAUUAACGCUAAUUAACGCUAAUUAACAACACUAAUUAACACCCGGCCACCUGUCUGGCUGUUUUCAGGUGAAAUUAACGCUAAUUAACGCUAAUUAAUGGUAAUUACUAACCCAAAUCGACACCCGGCCACGUGUCUGGCCGUGUUCAGGUGAAAUUAACGCUAAUUAACGCUAAUUAACGCUAAUUACUAACCCAAAUCGACACCCGGCCACCUGUCUGGCUGUCUUCAGGUGAGAUUAACGCUAAUUAACGCUAAUUAACGCUAAUUAACAACACUAAUGAACACCCGGCCACCUGUCUGGCUGUGUUCAGGUGAAAUUAACGCUAAUUAACGAUAAUUAACAACGCUAAUUAACCCCAAUCGACACCCGGCCACGUGUCUGGCUGUGUUCAGGUGAAAUUAACGCUAAUUAACGCUAAUUAACGGUAAUUAUUAACACUAAUGAACACCCGGCCACGUGUCUGGCUGUGUUCAGGUGAAAUUAACGCUAAUUAAUGCUAAUUAACACUAAUUAACACUAAUUACCAACCCCAAUCGACACCCGGCCACGUGCCUGGCCGUGUUCAGGUGAAAUUAACGCUAAUUAACGCUAAUUAACGGUAAUUAACAACACUAAUUAACACCCCACCACCUGUCUGGCUGUGUUCAGGUGAAAUUAACGCUAAUUAACGCUAAUUAACACUGAUUAUUAACACUAAUGAACACCCGGCCACCUGUCUGGCCGUCUUCAGGUGAAAUUAAUGCUAAUUAACAUUAAUUAACACUAAUUAUUAACUCCAAUCAACACCCCACCACCUGUCUGGCCAUUUUCAGGUGAAAUAAAUGCUAAUUAACGCUAAUUAACA